This 2963-nucleotide long non-coding RNA is filed under the name Sus scrofa (pig). Its description in RNAcentral is "lncRNA (ENSSSCG00065067323.1)". Lineage: Eukaryota; Metazoa; Chordata; Mammalia; Artiodactyla; Suidae. The record is from RNAcentral.
ACCUGGCCCCCAUUGGGACUUAACUUUGAAAAGGAAAAGAAGAGCAAAAGAUGAUGAUGUCGUAAGCCUUAGCAGCCUUGAUCUGAAGGAGGGCGAGUGCUGGGGGUUUUGUUUGGGGUUUCUUUGCACUUUGCAUUUUUUAAAUGUAAAACUGAAUAAUAUUGGCUCUUGCAGAUAGUUCGCCUUCUUUGUUAAGAAUGAGCAGAAAAUCUCCCGCAAAACAAUGUUGGCCGAUAGUGGUGUCUCAGACUCCCCUGCCUGCAGAGACCAGGCCUGUGGUUUGUGCACAGAAGGGACAGGGACGGAGGGCACCGCACCGCUGCUGCUGUGCUCCAGCCCACUGCUGGAGGCGGGAUUGUCCACAUCUGGGCUCCGUGGGAAGUCUCCUAAAUUUUAAAUGUGGGAUUUUUUUUCUAAAAAAUCAUGAAGACCAAACAACUUGUCUAGAGGCCAGAUGUGGCCCAGGGGUUUCUGGAGUGUGACACAUGAUAAACUAAAGCUCAAUGCACACGUCAAAACAAUUAUGUAUAUUCUUCUGUAAAGUUGUAGUUAAGUCCAAAAAUCUGGUAUCUUUGGAAUUAUUUCAUUUUUUGUCAGUUGGCAAGUUUUACAGAACCAUGUUAGUUUUAAGAAAUCUUUUUAAAAAGAUUGUUACGAAAAGUUAUACAUUUUAAGUGAGAUUUUUUAAAAAAGUUUGACAUCACAUUUAAUGAUGACAGCCUCUGCUUAUUUUUAACAAUAAGCUAUCUUCUAAAAAUUAAAUUUUUAUAGGUCUGCUCAUCAAAAGUUGAGCAAAUCUGGCAAGCCAGAUUUUUUGGAGGGUGUGUACAUAAUGUCUUUAUAGAAGAAUUUAGGCUUUUUGCAAAACAACUUUAGUUGCAUUUUCUUAAAUCUUGUUUUCAAAGAAAGAAAAAGGUGUUGUAGUUAAAUUGAGCCUCUAUCGUUCCUCUUUAUUAACUGGACUACUUCUGUAAAGAGAAACUUCCCUUCGUCAACCAUCUGGUUACGCCAAGGUACUGAUUUAUAAUAAAGGCAGGCCAGGUACUUGAUUCCUUCCUUUUACUAGUUUUCAAAAAUUAUGGAUUUUCUUCAUUUGAAUUCUCUAAAAGUAAGUAAUGAUUUUUUUCUCUUUUGAUAUGUUACGAACUCAUGGAUGUGGACACAUUUGAUAUGUUAUGCCUCGAUCCACUUUAAUUAUUAGUUUUACUGUGCUCGCAUUAUCCCGUCUUUGACCAUGGUUGCUGCCUCAAGGUGGCACCUUUGUCCUUUGCUCCCCAAGCUUUAAGAUGUAGCUGACAUAGGACAUCGUGUAAAUUUAAGUGUGCAGCGUGUUGAUUUCCUGUGUCCUUUUGUCACGGCUCUUGCCUCAGAUCUAGAAGCUGAAUAAAUAGCCUCCUUUUCUUCCUGGAUGACAAGUUAUUCCAGGCCUACCUACUUUUUUUUUUCUCUUUUUUUUUUCCACACCUGGAAUCAGUCAUUUCCAAAAGCCCUAGUUUUAGAGGCUAAAAUCGGGGCACGAGGAGCACUUGUUGCUACUAAUCGAUCAUUGUUUCUAGGCCUUUUAAUGGGCAGAGCUAGAAAACAUAUAUACUUUUGAGAUAAACUAACUCAUGAGUUUAUAUUGCGAUUUUUAAAGUCAGUGCUAAAGGGUCUUUUUCUUAAUCUCCUUAAUCUUAACAAUCUAGAUCUUUUUCAACUAUACCAACAAUCUGGGUUCUAUGAGACAAAAUUACUCUCGAUUUACUCAUGAGUUAGUUCUUUGCUAUGUGUAAUUAUGCCAAUGCACUUUUUUAUUUGCAAGAUUUAAGAAUUACUCCUUUUUAAAUUUUUCUUAGAAUUGUGUAACAAAAUUGUAUACAGUUUUAAAGUCAGCUCUACAAGAUUCUUGUUUCUAUCCCUGGCUCCUCUCCUCUACUUCUUUCUUCUGUACAAAAUGUUUUUGGUUUCUUUCACCAAUUUUAUGGUUUAUUCUUCCACUUUUUAAAGUCAUAAGCAGUUGCAUGUAUGUUUAUGUAUCCCACUUUUUUGAUAAACAGUAGCAUACUGUCUUUCAUUACAUGUUCUAUUUUUACACUCUUUUUGGUUUUGCUUGUAUGUUUUGCUAUAUCUUUCAGUAUUUGGAAGAUUCAUGGUUUUGUUCUGUCGGUUGUCUUUAUGGGAUGCCUUCAGUCCCCUCUCUUUGGCUGCGGUAAAUUUGUUCAUUCCCGUGAGCGUUAUUUUAAUCAACCAGCACCUCUUCUCCUUCCUCUCUUCUCCUUGUUUUCUGAGGUCUUUCUUUCUGCUCCCCGUCUCUUUUAUCUGGACUUCUUGUCUUUGCUUCUGUUGCCCUUUUCUGCUCAAUUUGGACCCUACUCCUAGCAGUUUUUCUCAGUGCAGUGUUCUUUUCAAGAGUUUCUAUGGCCAAGGGCGACUGUUGCAGCACCAGUAAACCUUGUUACCUGGCAGUGUCCUUGCCCUUGGCCUAAGGCUUUGGUCCUCGGAGUCCUUCCCAGUUUAGAGCGCUGUUCUCAGACUAGGGUGCCAUGGUAGGGGUUCCCUACUCUUGGGACCAUCAGAGAAGCCCUGCUGCCCUCCCUCUCCUUCUCUGUCAGAUACUGAAACCCUGUGAGUCUCGUAGCUGUUCCGUGUGCCUCCAUUAGACCAACAGAAGGUUUGGGGGAAACACGUUCUUUUUUGGUGUAUAUUUUAGAUUUUCUGUGUUCUAUGUUACUUGCUACAUCUCUUUUUUUUUUUCCUUUAAAGAGGGAACGCCUGUCAAAGAUUAACACAUGGAUGAGUGAGCUAACAGAAUGGUAAAGCUGGUGCGAGGACUAUAGGAAACACUGAAGCAUUCUAAUCCCAGAGAGAGGUGGAAUAAGAUUGCUGCAUUUUAUACGAGACAGAUCAAUGUCCCCAUCUGCAUCUCUGCCUACAGAAUGUAUUUGCAUUGCUACAGAAUUAACAUCUACCUUGACAGAGUUGGU